Molecule: ribosomal RNA, 1296 nt
Filed under: Salmonella enterica
Lineage: Bacteria; Pseudomonadati; Pseudomonadota; Gammaproteobacteria; Enterobacterales; Enterobacteriaceae
Description: partial 23S ribosomal RNA
Rfam family: Bacterial large subunit ribosomal RNA
Source: RNAcentral
CCACCACUAAGCCAGUGGUGAACUCCACAUACGCAUCCUUUGCUGAGGAUACGGUUAACGGAGCGAAAGCGACGUUCAACCUCAAAAGAAGCAGAGGGGGCUUAGUGGUGGGGUGACUGCGUACCUUUUGUAUAAUGGGUCAGCGACUUAUAUUCUGUAGCAAGGUUAACCGAAUAGGGGAGCCGGAGGGAAACCGAGUCUUAAUUGGGCGUUAAGUUGCAGGGUAUAGACCCGAAACCCGGUGAUCUAGCCAUGGGCAGGUUGAAGGUUGGGUAACACUAACUGGAGGACCGAACCGACUAAUGUUGAAAAAUUAGCGGAUGACCUGUGGCUGGGGGUGAAAGGCCAAUCAAACCGGGAGAUAGCUGGUUCUCCCCGAAAGCUAUUUAGGUAGCGCCUCGUGAAUUCAUCUCCGGGGGUAGAGCACUGUUUCGGCUAGGGGGUCAUCCCGACUUACCAACCCGAUGCAAACUGCGAAUACCGGAGAAUGUUAUCACGGGAGACACACGGCGGGUGCUAACGUCCGUCGUGAAGAGGGAAACAACCCAGACCGCCAGCUAAGGUCCCAAAGUCAUGGUUAAGUGGGAAACGAUGUGGGAAGGCCCAGACAGCCAGGAUGUUGGCUUAGAAGCAGCCAUCAUUUAAAGAAAGCGUAAUAGCUCACUGGUCGAGUCGGCCUGCGCGGAAGAUGUAACGGGGCUAAACCAUGCACCGAAGCUGCGGCAGCGACACUGUGUGUUGUUGGGUAGGGGAGCGUUCUGUAAGCCGUUGAAGGUGUGUCGUGAGGCAUGCUGGAGGUAUCAGAAGUGCGAAUGCUGACAUAAGUAACGAUAAUGCGGGUGAAAAACCCGCACGCCGGAAGACCAAGGGUUCCUGUCCAACGUUAAUCGGGGCAGGGUGAGUCGACCCCUAAGGCGAGGCCGAAAGGCGUAGUCGAUGGGAAACGGGUUAAUAUUCCCGUACUUGGUGUUACUGCGAAGGGGGGACGGAGAAGGCUAUGUUGGCCGGGCGACGGUUGUCCCGGUUUAAGCGUGUAGGUGUGUGUUCCAGGUAAAUCCGGUUCACUUUAACACUGAGGCGUGAUGACGAGGCACUACGGUACUGAAGCAACAAAUGCCCUGCUUCCAGGAAAAGCCUCUAAGCAUCAGGUAACAUCAAAUCGUACCCCAAACCGACACAGGUGGUCAGGUAGAGAAUACCAAGGCGCUUGAGAGAACUCGGGUGAAGGAACUAGGCAAAAUGGUGCCGUAACUUCGGGAGAAGGCACGCUGACAUGUAGGUGAAGUGAUUUACUCA